AUGUGGAGAACAUGUACGAGGAGGUCCAAAUACCUGAGCGGCACAAGUCCAUCAGCUGGAGAUGUGAAGAUCUUUGUGACUCUGGCACGUCCGCUCCACCCGGCAGCAAGAAGCUGCCCACAGAUGUCUGGCAGGUGAGCGAGCGAACCGUCAGCAGGACAGAGGUGGCCGUACGAGUCAGUACACCUCAUCUUGCCACCAUCAAACAAAGCUGUGACGCUAAGGUUCAACAGUUGAUGAAAUCGAGGAGGAACAGCACUAAGGAAGGAUUGAGAAAAACAACGCUGGCCAUGAUCCGCAGAGUGGCCUUCCUGCAGAGGAAAAACUCCACAGGUGAGGAGUGUGGAUCUGUGUCUCACGUUGUGUUACAUGUAAACGAUUGAAUGGGAUUAGCAAUAACCAGGAAUUCAUUGAAAAAGUUUCUAUCAAACAUCUGUCUGCUUUCUUCUGAGAACAAAGGCUGUUUUAUUUCAGGAGAGGGGAGUGAAGACACAGGAUACUUGGACGUGUCCAUUUGUGAGCUGAAGCACCCUCCAGCUGUACUGUGCCCUAUGCCGGAGGGGCUCAGCGGCCAGCAGGUCAUCCGACGCCUCAUUCUCAGCUCUAUUGUUCAAAGUGAGAGCAGCUACCUGGACUCCUUGAAGAGGAUCCUGCAGGAAUACCAAAAGCCGCUACUGGAGAGCCACACUUCCAUCCUAAACCCGGAGAAGGUGCAUCAGAUCUUCUUCCGUCUGAGGGAGAUCCAUCAGUGCCACUCCAUGUUCCAGAUCGCCCUGGCAUCGCGCGUGGCGGACUGGGAUCAGAGUGAGAUGAUUGGAGACCUGUUUGUGGCCUCGUUUUCAAAGUCCAUGGUGCAGAGCGUGUACAGAGACUACAUCAACAAUUUCACCAAAGCCAUGGCGCUCAUCAAGAAGGCCUGCGUGUCCAGACCUGCCUUCCUGGACUUCCUGAAGAGGAAACAGGCGUCAUCGGCAGACCGGAUCACGCUGUACGGGCUGAUGGUCAAGCCCAUCCAGCGUUUCCCUCAGUUCAUUCUGCUGCUACAGGACAUGUUGAAGAACACUCCGCUGGCCCAUAAGGACAGACUUCCUCUGCAGCUGGCUCUCACCGAGCUUGAGAUCCUGGCAGAAAAGCUCAACGAAGAGAGGCGUUUGGCUGACCAAGAAGCAGAAAUCCAGCAGCUGGCCCAUAGCAUAGGAGACCGCAACCUCAACAAGCUGCUAAACUCGGAGCAGAGGCAGCUGAUCCACUCUGAGCUGCUGACUGAGACUGUCUAUGGGGACAAAGGUCAAGUCCUUAAGUCUAAGAAGCGAAAGGUGUUUCUCUUCAGUGACUCGUUGAUUUGUGCCAACAUCAACUGGAAGGGUCCUCCUGAAAUCAGCAGCCUGGUUCCCCUGGGAGCCAAAUGCUCGGUGAAGUGGUGUGCCCCUGUGGCACAGAUCCAAGUGGAGGAGGUGGGGCAGGAUGGGGUUGUGAUUAGUAGGCGGCAUAGCUCUGCCUCCAGGAAGUUGUUCCUGGGGCCCCCCAGGUUAUUCCAGGAACUGGAGGAGCUACAGCAUGACCUGGCUGUGGUGGAGGAGGUGUCUCUGCUGGUGGGCACGUUACAUGGACUCUACCAGAACCUGAACAGCACAGUGUCUCAGGACUGGUGCUGCGCUCUGCAGAGGCUCAUCCGUCUGAAGGAAGAGCAGAUCCAGGACGCCAACAAGUGCUGCCUGCGUCUGUCCAUUCCAAGCCGUCCAGACAGGUCUGGACGCCCUGUGAGCAUUAUGGUGGUCUUCAACACCCUCAGCCCCCACAGCAAAAUCUUCUGGGUGAACCGCAUCUACCUUGCUAAGCUGGCUCAGAGAAAGGAAAACUCUCCUGGAUGGGAAUGUUAUGAAGAUGACUGCAAGACCCAAACCCUGUUUGGGUCUCCACUGCUGACCUGCUCUUUGCCGGUUCUGUCCUCCAGGACACUCUCUCUGACGCUGAAGGCGGCUCUGCACAGUCCUUCUCAGUCCACCCUGCUUGGUCUCUGCUCCACCACCACAUGUCUGCCGCAGGGUUACCUCUGGGUUGCUGGUGGUGGAGGCGGCUCUCUCCACGGCCAAGUGGAUAUCUUCUCUUUGAACCGAACCACACCUCGCUUGGUGAAGAGCAUCCCACUGAGGUCCCCCGUCCUCUGUCUGGAGCUUGUGAGGGAGCCAGGUCCCCAGACUGAUGAAGAAGAGGAGGAGAAAGAGUCUGGGAGGGUCACCAGGGCAGAGAACAUCAUCUGUGUGGGUCUGCAGGACGGCAGCAUUCACGUGCACAGCAGUGUGGACACGGCUGUGGAGACUCUGCAGACCCUGGUGAACCCGGACAGCUGCCCUGUGCUCUGCCUCAAACAUUCGACCUCCUUCCUCUUUGCUGGACUGGCCAACGGUAAAGUAGCUGUGUUCCAGAGAGCAGCUGGAGGUGAGCUAUGGGACGCGGACUCGUGCAGACUGGUGCGGCUGGGCUCAGAGCCGGUCCACGCUCUGCUGACAGUGGAAGAUGCUGUGUGGGCGAGCUGUGGCCAUCAUGUCUCUGUCAUCCAGGGAGAGGGUCUGCACACACAGGUUUUGGAAGUUCACCAUGAUCCAGGCUGCCGGGUUCGCUGCAUGGUGCGUUCAGGAGCUGGAGUCUGGAUGGCCUUCACAAAGGGCUCCUCCAUUUACCUGUUUCACACUGAGACACUGGAAGCUCUGCAGGAAGUGAACAUCUCAGCCCGUUCCAGGCAUCCAGGUCAGCUCACGGUCUCCUGUAUGCUGAUUUGCCAGGGUUUGUUGUGGGUGGGCACCAACCAGGGAGUAAUCCUCACUUUCCCUGUUCCCACCCUGGAGGGCAUCCCCAGGAUAACAGGUCUGUGCUGGAACUCACGAAGACCUGGUUCAUUCUGUAAAUGCAGCUUCUGCAGACAAUCCAGUCCGCCCACACUGCCAGGCUUCUCCUGUGACCACGAGGUUUACAGAGGACAAAAUACAACAACAAAAAACUACUUUUACUGUCCUGCAGAGGUGACGAUCACAAGGGUUAAAACCAUUUCUCUGUCUAACCCAGGGGUCGGCAACCUUUUUUACUCAAAGAGCCAUUUGGGACCGCCCCUAAUGGAAAAAAAGCACCCGGAGCCACAACCCGUUUUGACAUCAUAA
Oryzias sinensis (Chinese medaka) is the source of this 3155-nucleotide long non-coding RNA. The record is from Ensembl. Lineage: Eukaryota; Metazoa; Chordata; Actinopteri; Beloniformes; Adrianichthyidae.